This 463-nucleotide ribosomal RNA is filed under the name uncultured bacterium. RNAcentral's name for it is "bacterial SSU rRNA". It matches the Rfam family "Bacterial small subunit ribosomal RNA", at positions 346 to 793 of the family's 1533-position model. The record is from RNAcentral.
AGGCAGCAGUGGGGGAAUAUUGCACAAUGGGCGCAAGCCUGAUGCAGCCAUGCCGCGUGUGUGAAGAAGGACCUUCGGGUUGUUAAAGCAACUUUCAGUCGUGAGGAAGGUAGUGUAGUUAAUAGCUGCAUUAUUUGACGUUAGCGACAGAAGAAGCACCGGCUAACUCCGUGCCAGCAGCCGCGGUAAUACGGAGGGUGCGAGCGUUAAUCGGAAUUACUGGGCGUAAAGCGCAUGCAGGUGGUUUGUUAAGUCAGAUGUGAAAGACCCGGGGCUCAACCUCGGAAUAGCAUUUGAAACUAGGCAGACUAGAGUACUGUAGAGGGGGGUAGGAAUUUCAGGUGUAGCGGUGAAAUGCGUAGAGAUCUGAAGGAAUACCGGUGGCGAAGGCGGCCCCCUCGGACAGAUACUGACACUCAGAUGCGAAAGCGUGGGGAGCAAACAGGAUUAGAUACCCUGGUAG